AGAACGAACGCUGGCGGCGGGGUUUAGGCAUGCAAGUCGAGCGAGAAAGCGCAGGCUGAGUACAGCGGCGUAAGGGUGAGUAACAGGUAGUUAACGUACCGGGCAGACGCGAAUAAUUUCCCGAAAGGGAUUGUAAUGCGCGAUGAGAUCACGGGCAUCACGGGGCUUGGGAUCAAAGGUCGGGGAUCCUUCGGGACCUGGCGCU
RNAcentral lists this ribosomal RNA (205 nucleotides) under uncultured bacterium. RNAcentral's name for it is "partial small subunit ribosomal RNA". It matches the Rfam family "Bacterial small subunit ribosomal RNA", at positions 26 to 219 of the family's 1533-position model. The record is from RNAcentral.